RNAcentral lists this ribosomal RNA (492 nucleotides) under uncultured Massilia sp. RNAcentral's name for it is "partial 16S ribosomal RNA". The record is from RNAcentral. Lineage: Bacteria; Pseudomonadati; Pseudomonadota; Betaproteobacteria; Burkholderiales; Oxalobacteraceae.
CACAUAGUUAGCCGGUGCUUAUUCUUCAGGUACCGUCAUUAAGAAUGGAUAUUAGCCACUCCCGUUUCUUCCCUGACAAAAGAGCUUUACAACCCGAAGGCCUUCUUCACUCACGCGGCAUUGCUGGAUCAGGCUUGCGCCCAUUGUCCAAAAUUCCCCACUGCUGCCUCCCGUAGGAGUCUGGACCGUGCCUCAGUUCCAGUGUGGCUGGUCGUCCUCUCAGACCAGCUACUGAUCGUCGCCUUGGUGAGCCUUUACCUCACCAACUAGCUAAUCAGAUAUCGGCCGCUCCAGGAGCACAAGGUCCGAAGAUCCCCUGCUUUCAUCCUUGGAUCGUAUGCGGUAUUAGCGUAACUUUCGCUACGUUAUCCCCCACUCUUGGGUACGUUCCGAUAUAUUACUCACCCGUUCGCCACUCGUCAGCGGAGCAAGCUCCCUGUUACCGUUCGACUUGCAUGUGUAAAGCAUGCCGCCAGCGUUCAAUCUGAGCCA